This 106-nucleotide small RNA is filed under the name Marmota monax (woodchuck). The record is from RNAcentral. Lineage: Eukaryota; Metazoa; Chordata; Mammalia; Rodentia; Sciuridae.
GCCAGGUGUGGUGGUGCACACCUGUAAUCCUAGAGACUGGGGGGCUGAGACAGGAGGACCAGCAACUUAGCAAGGCCCUAAGCAACUUAGCAAAACUCUGUCUCAA